RNAcentral lists this ribosomal RNA (253 nucleotides) under uncultured bacterium. RNAcentral's name for it is "partial 16S ribosomal RNA". It matches the Rfam family "Bacterial small subunit ribosomal RNA", at positions 524 to 776 of the family's 1533-position model. The record is from RNAcentral.
UACGUAGGGGGCAAGCGUUAUCCGGAUUUAUUGGGCGUAAAGCGCGCGUAGGUGGGCUGUUAAGCGAGAUGUGAAAACCGGGGGCUCAACCCGCGGCCUGCAUCUCGAACUGGCAGCCUUGAGUCUGGUAGAGGGAAGUGGAAUUCCGAGUGUAGCGGUGAAAUGCGCAGAUAUUCGGAAGAACACCAGUGGCGAAGGCGGCUUCCUGGGCCACGACUGACACUGAGGCGCGAAAGCUAGGGGAGCGAACAGG